GUGUGUGUGAGUGUGUGUGUGAGUGUGUGUGUGUGUGUGUGUGUGUGUGAGAGAGAGUGUUUGUAGAUGGCUCUUGGCUGAUGGAGUGCUCCAGAUGUUGGACACUUGGCUUACAAAUGACUCUGGACAAUUUCCCACAGAAAUCUAAAAAUAACUCUCAGUGGGUUUAUCCACCCCUCAGCCCACACCAACACUACAGCACAGCCACUCUGGAGGACAGUGUCUGAGAGUGUGUGUGAGAGAAAGAGAGAGAGAGAGAGUUUGUGUGUGUGAGAGAGAGAGAGUGAGUGUGUGUGAGAGAGAAAGAGAGAGCGAGAGUGAGAGUGUGUGUGUGAGAGAGAAAGAGAGAGAGAGAGUGAGUGUGUGUGUGUGAGAGAGAAAGAGAGAGAGAGAGAGUGAGUGUGUGUGUGAGAGAGAGAAAGAGAGUGAGAGAGAGAGAGAAUGUGUGUGUUGAGUCAAACCUCAGCAUUCUGCUUCUUCCUCAGUGAAGGUAUCUCCAGCUCAACUCCAGAGCAGCACUAGUGUAAAGGACACUCAAUUUAGUGCACUACUAACACCUGAGGAACAGAGAGAGAACGAGAUCCUCCAUCACAGAGUAUUCAUUCAUGAAGUGGAGCUGCUCUGUGUGUGUGUGUGUGUGUGUGUGUGUGUGUGUGUGUGUUACUCUGUGGAGUUAUUCCUGGUUCAUUUCCUACAAAACUAAAUAAACCCUGGGUUAUUUUUAUCUCCUGCCAGGGUGAGACAUGCUGAUCCAGCAGAACCAAGAUCUUCUGUAGCUCAGGAAACUUUUUCUGGUGGUCAGUUUAAGAGGUUUUUUCCCCCUCUAAUUAUUUUCCAUUAAAGUGGAGUGUGUCCAUCAUUACCAGAACCCCAUCAGAACUCUCAGUGUAGUGAAACCAGUGACUCUAAGAUUCUGGGAUGGUGGAACCUCAUUUCCUGUACCAUUUUUAUCAUGCUCCACAGCUCAGAUGUAGGUGAGGAACCGGACGUGGACCGAAAGCUUUGUCCAGAAUCUGAUCUUCUCCUUCACCACCUCGGAGCAGAGACUGUAAGACUGCUGCUGUUAAACUGAUCUGGUCACUAAUCUUCUCCAUCACUCCUGCAUUUAAAGAACAUUAUCAUCUAGGCUCUUCCUCCACAUCACUCUUCCUCCAGUUUUCCUUCGUGAGACUCCGAGUGUCAUGGAGGCAGCGGCGCCGUCUCCUGGGAACGCCAAGUGUUCCCACAACCGUCUGAAAACAUCUCCUGUAGGACCUCCGAAGCAGGGACGAGAUCAGCCCUGACCAAGCGGUUUGGUCUUGAUUGUGGAUUAAAGGCUCUGACUGGUUCCUCAGCAGUCAAGUGACCUUCACUGAUCCUGAAGGUCUCCUUCACAGGUUCCUGACCUCCUGAGACUGCUGACUCCACCCGACUCCUCUGGCUGCUGAGACCACAACCUGCUCCAGGUCAGUGUUUCACUGUCCUGAGGGUGGGGCUGAUAACAUUCACCUGGUCAGGUAGACCUCCUGAUUAUCAGCAGGAUGUUUCAGAUCUGAAUUUGUCCGAUUUCUCUCCUUAGAUCUGACCCGUAACAUGACCCUGAGCUUCGAUCUCUCCACCCACAGAGGGAGGAGUUUAUUUAUUGUUCUGGGGUACACAAACUUCUGCACUUGAGUAAACACACUCUGAUGUUUUAAAUCUGAUUCUGUGAAUUUAAGAGAAAGAGGGUUUGUGUUUAGAUUUAUUCAGAAGGACUCGAUGCUCAGUGUGUAAUGUUUUAUUUCGUCUCUACAUGCAGUGUUAAAAAAAUCAACAAAAAUAUCAUUAACAGCGAAGGAAUUAUUUACAGCUUCACAGUACAGGUUUCUCAACAGGCCUACACAUUAAAAUACUCUGGAGAAAAAAAUAAACAAAUAAACAAAAACACAUCCAGCCAGUUUAAAGUGUAAAAUAAAAUGCUUUGUUUUUUUCCUGACGCGAGCGUGAAGGUUAAUGACGUGAAGGAGAGACGCUGAACAUCGCCAGCUGAAGCCAAAAAUCAGCUCACAAACACCGGACUGGAGCUGCUGAUGUGGGCGGAGCUUAUCUCUGCGCUCGUGCCCUGGACAUCAGGACGGUCAGGUGUUUUAUUCGCACAGCAGAUUAAAACAUUCGGACUCACACAGUAACACGCUGAUGACAGAGGUUAAAGGUCAGGUGAUCAUCAGCACACGUCUAAUCAAAUGUAAACAAAUCAGACCGUAACGCUGUAACCAGACUCACAUGCAGAUCUAUGGGGGCGGAGUUUCUCACUUUUCUUCCAGAAUCCUUACAGAAGAUGAUUUCAGUCCAGAGGUUUAUUCACAGAACAUUAUUCUAUUUGAUUUGGAAUUAAAUCCAAAGUGUUUCUGUAACAUUUUCUCAACAUGACGAAGCUGAAUGUCAGCCGUGUUCAGACGCGGUAAAGCUGCUAAUCUCACCUAGCUACAGUGUUAAAGCUAGUGCAAGAUGUGUUCUGUGGGUUUAUUCCACAAACACGCGUCUUCCUCAACAUCACGUUUUACUGCAGAAAUAUAAAGUUUAUAAUAAACUGGGAUUAGAUUUGGGGAUAAAACACUCAGCAGCGUCUUCAGUAACUUUAUACUCGCGGUUAACAAAUCAGUGAAACGGCAGAUGCUAAUCUCCACUCUCCAUCACCUGCUCACGGAUUUAAGCUCCCUGCUAACAGGCUAAUGGUAAUUCUCUAGCUAACAUUUCAGCUGUACACGUUAUUGUAAUUAUAUUAAACACCAGAAACAAACUGACAUUCAUUUAAAGAGAGUUAGAGGAUAACAGCGUCUUGUGUCAUGGCGUGAAGGAGGUUUAUUUCCUAAAAGCAACAGAUUCUACAGAAGAAAUGAUUUAUUACUCAUUUUUAUUUUCAUCCUCAUUCUUCUCCCGCUCUGUUACAUCUUACUUGUCUGUCUCCUGGUGAAAUGUCCAGUGAUUGUAAGGAAAUGACCCACAGCCAGUUUCUCAGUAAGGCACAGAACACACACUUGCCUCUGAAAUGGAUUUCUACACGUUUAUAUUUACAGUGCUGGUCAUUACCUGCAUGACGCGUUGCUAGGCGACUGAGUGGCUAAUUCAGCCAUCAGAACUCUCUCUGCUGUGUGACGGCCGAGUUUAACAGCUCUGAAUUUGGACUUUAACGUAAUGGUUCCCACUAAAACUGGAGUGUGUUUUACCCAUGCAGUAAUUUAGCACAAUGCUAAAGUGGUAGCUAUUAGCUUCCAUUGCUUGUUAGCUACAUUAGCCUCAUAGCUCCAGUGCAAAACUACAGCCUCAGUGAACGGAUUCAUCACUGAAACCCAGGAGAUUCGUGUGAAACACUUAACCUCAGUGUGUCUCUGAAAUUUGAUAAAAUAAUAUGUUGUUCUGUGGCUCACACACACACACACACACACACACACACACACACACACACACACA
Molecule: long non-coding RNA, 3429 nt
Organism: Hemibagrus wyckioides
Lineage: Eukaryota; Metazoa; Chordata; Actinopteri; Siluriformes; Bagridae
Exons: 2
Source: RefSeq, a predicted model, not a curated record